This 253-nucleotide ribosomal RNA is filed under the name uncultured bacterium. Its description in RNAcentral is "partial 16S ribosomal RNA". It matches the Rfam family "Bacterial small subunit ribosomal RNA", at positions 524 to 776 of the family's 1533-position model. The record is from RNAcentral.
UACGAAGGGGGCGAGCGUUGUUCGGAAUUACUGGGCGUAAAGGGCGCGUAGGCGGCGACUCAAGUUAGAUGUGAAAGUCCUGGGCUUAACCUGGGGACUGCAUUUGAUAUUGGGUUGCUUGAAUUCGGGAGAGGAUAGCGGAAUUCCCAGUGUAGAGGUGAGAUUCGUAGAUAUUGGGAAGAACACCGGUGGCGAAGGCGGCUAUCUGGACCGACAUUGACGCUGAGGCGCGAAAGCGUGGGGAGCAAACAGG